AUUAAUGAUAGAUAGAAAAUGUAAUUUAGUGUGUGAUUGGUUCGUCUGUAACUGUAGAUUUUUUAUUAUAGAUUUUUUGCUGUAGAAUUUUUGCUGUAUGUGUGAUGACUGUAGCUGUAUAUUUUAUUGCUUUAAAAAUUAGGGAGAUUUGCAAAAUUGCCCUUAUUUUAAUAACCUUUUGUAAAAGUGCCCUUUCCUGAAGGCCAUUUUUAAAACUACCCCUUCUAAUAUGCCAAAUGACUGUCUUACCCUCUGAAUGAUUAGGUUUCACGUUCGUUUCACAAACUUCUUCGUUUUGGCACAAACUUCUUCGUUUUCCUCUCCGAUUUCACUCAAAAUCGCCGGCGAAUUUCCUCUCCGAUUUCACUCAAAAUCGCUGACGAAUUCCCUCUCCGAUUUCACUCAAAAUCGCCAACGAAUUUCCUCUCCGAUUUCACUCAAAAUCGCCGACGAAUUUUCUCUCUGAGAAACCCCAAAAUCGCAGACGAAUUUCCUCUCCGAUAAACCUGUUCUUCUGUGAAGGAUUCAGAUCAUUUCUCUACGACGCAAACAAUCCCCAGAGAUAUCGAUUGAUCCGACGGUAACCGUUUUAAUAAUCGAUUUUAUAGUCAAUCUGACGCUGUUUCAUAACAUGUUUUGCAGAUGGAUUCAGAGAGUGAAAUCCUUACAUUGCCUGAACAAAUCUACAGAGAAGGUGAGGAAUCUAUUGCACUGGGAACCGUUCAACAAUACUCGGAUUGGAAUUUAGUUAGUAAAGUAGAGGAAGCUUUAGGCGAGUGUUUAUUUCAGAAGAUUAGAAGUUCGUUUCUUGGUCCUCUAGUUGAAUUGGGACCAAAAAUGAAGGCUAAGAAGGGAAUCAGAUUUUCUGGAAAAAUCUUUCACUAUCUCAUGCAGCAGAGAGUGAAAACAAAAGGAUCAACUCUUUGGUUUAGAGUUGAUUCUCAACCUAUCCGUUUCUCCUUGAGAGAGUUCUAUCUCACAACAGGUAAUAAAGUUUUACAAUCGUUUUUAAAGCUUAAUUAACUGUCGUAGAAUGAUUUACAAGGCAUUUGCAUAACUGUUUGCGUAGUUUACAAUCGUUUUUAAAACAUAAGUAAGUGUCAUAGAUAAUUUACAAGGGAUUUUAAAAGCUUUUAAAAGGGGUUUACUUCAUUAACAAUCGUUUAAGAAGCAUAAGUUAGUGGCAGAUAAUGAUUUACAAGGGAUUUUAAAAAGGGUAUGCAUGGUUUACAACCGUUUUUAGGCAUAAGUAAUUAGCAUAGAAUAAUUUACAAGGAAUUUUAAAAGCUUAAAGAAGUGUUAAACACGUUUACAAGGGAUUUUAAAAGCAUAAGUAAGUGUCUUAAAACGAUUUACAAGGGAUCUUAGAAGUGUUUGCAUAGUUUACAAUCGAUUUUAAAACAUAAGUAAGUGGCAUAGAAUAUCUACAAGGGAUUUUAAAACCUUUUCUAAGGGUUAAACAUGAUUAGCAAUCGUUUUUUAAGCAUAAGUAAGUUGAAUAGAAUGAUUUACAAGAGAUUUUAAAAGCUUUUAGAAGGGUUAAACAUGAUUUACAAUCGUUUUUAAAGCAUAAGUAAGUGUCAUAUAAUGAUUUACAAGAGAUUUUAAAAGUGUCUGCAUGGUUUACAAUCGUUUUUAAACCAUAAGUUAGUGGCAUUGAAUGAUUUAUAAGGGAUUUUAAAAGCUUUUAAAAACU
This 1696-nucleotide small RNA is filed under the name Arabidopsis thaliana (thale cress). Its description in RNAcentral is "ATSL100280". The record is from RNAcentral. Lineage: Eukaryota; Viridiplantae; Streptophyta; Magnoliopsida; Brassicales; Brassicaceae.